Long non-coding RNA from Bombina bombina (fire-bellied toad), 439 nucleotides. RefSeq lists it as uncharacterized. Lineage: Eukaryota; Metazoa; Chordata; Amphibia; Anura; Bombinatoridae. The transcript has 5 exons. The record is from RefSeq and is a predicted model, not a curated record.
UGUUAUUUCACUAUCCUCUAUUUGGAAAGUGAUGAAUAUGACACAUAAUGAAGAUAAACUGAUAUUUUAUUUAGAAUCGACUUUUAAAGACCAUAUAUCCAGAGAUGGAUGUUGGUGCUGGACCCUCAAGUUCGGGUUUGUUCCAGUCUGAUCUAGUUAUUGUGACAGACUCGGAGGGAUCCAGCACUGAUACAGACCUGCCUUUGCAGGCUUCUGAGAUUGAUGUUACAUGUGUGAUGUAGGAGGAAGUGGCUCCCUCUGAGUCUAAUGAUGGAACUUCCACUUCUGGGCAUCAGUCUCCCGCCCCUUCCCAUCCUGACCUCUCUCCCGGCCCUUACCAAAAAGAAAUUCCUGCCCUCCUUCGCCGCUCUCCCCUUUUUGCCCGUCCUGCUUCUAACCCACCUGCACAGCCACCAAAUCCCCCAGCCCAUGACUCCCU